Molecule: ribosomal RNA, 484 nt
Filed under: uncultured bacterium
Lineage: Bacteria
Description: partial 16S ribosomal RNA
Rfam family: Bacterial small subunit ribosomal RNA
Source: RNAcentral
AUUGAACGCUGGCGGCAUGCUUUACACAUGCAAGUCGAACGGCAGCGCGGGCUUCGGCCUGGCGGCGAGUGGCGAACGGGUGAGUAAUGCAUCGGAACGUGCCCAGCUGCGGGGGAUAGCCCGGCGAAAGCCGGAUUAAUACCGCAUUAGACCUGAGGGUGAACGCGGGGGACCGAAAGGCCUCGCGCCAUUGGACGGGUCGAUGUCGGAUUAGCUAGUUGGUGGGGUAAAGGCUUACCAAGGCGACGAUCCGUAGCUGGUCUGAGAGGACGACCAGCCACACUGGGACUGAGACACGGCCCAGACUCCUACGGGAGGCAGCAGUGGGGAAUUUUGGACAAUGGGGGCAACCCUGAUCCAGCCAUGCCGCGUGCGUGAAGAAGGCCUUCGGGUUGUAAACCGCUUUUGUUCGGGAAGAAAUCCUCUGGGCUAAUACCCUGGGGUGAUGACGGUACCGGAAGAAUAAGCACCGGCUAACUACAUG